GUUCCUUGGGUGCUCCUCUGUGAUCUGCCAAGGUGCAAAAUUUGCAAAAUUAUCUCCUGCCUCCAAUCCCAACCUUCUCCCACCCGUGGUAUGCUCCCUCCAGUUCUGUCUGCAACCUUGGGAUGAGACAAAUGGCCCUUGGGAGGUGUCUCUCUCUCCAGUGACUGCAACAGGAACCCAGAAAUGCUGCAGGAUCUUUGUGGUAUCUGCUGAAGUCCAUGAGCCUUGACCCCAACCUCUAAGGGAGGAAUCAGACCUGGAGAAAAGUUCCUGCAAUUCAAAGAAAUGAGGUCGCAACUUUUGGGAGAAGAAUGUUGAAACUCAAACCUGAACUUCCAGCCUGAAUGUCCACCAGGCCUUGAUAACCAAGCUGGACCAGGAAGAUGAGCAAUAACUGGAUUGCCAUGUGCCAGGGAUCAAUGGGCAGAACACCCUCAGGGGCCUCAGAAGGCUCCCAGCUUGCCUGAUAUCCAUGAAUCCAAAUGGAAAAGAGAAAAUGGCAAAUGACACUUAAUCCCAAAGUGAGCCAAGCUGUCCUUGUACCCAGAGAAACAACUGACAGCUGACACAGGAUGGGACCUGCAGGGAUUUCUGAAGCAGCAAAGGCUCCUCUGGGCAAGAUUAAAGCUCAGUGCAAACCCCAAGGUCACCUCUGCCUGAGCAGUGUAGAACUUGGGAUCACCUGAGCUCACUGGCAUCCAGCAGGUUUGGGGUAUAUUGCACUGGAGAUUCCACAAAGCUUUCACCCACCAGGAGCUCUGGGCUCUGCAGAGUCUGAUAGAUAUCCUGAAAAAUUUUGGAGUGACAUUUUGGAGGGUAGCUGGCAAAACAUGAGCCAGCAAGACAUUGUAGAAAGAUGAAUUCACAAGCAUAAAGUUUUAGAGAGGGUACUUGAGAAUGAAAGAGUGGUUCCACCAACCUUCACCAUUCAUUUAUUUAAAUUUAUGCUAUAAAAUGGACAGCAGAGGAAAGUCAGAACUUGCACUGAUGAUUUUUCAUUCUCUUCCCCCCACUGCCCCUGAUCUUUUAUUUAUGAAACUGGUCUGGGUGCACCUUUCGAAUGACUUUUUUUGGCUUACUGUUUAUUAUGUCUUCAUCAGCCUUGAAAUGGCAGCUGCAGGCAGCUUGAUAAAUGGAUGGAAAAGCUGCUUCUGCCAGAGUCAAACCAACAAAAACCCCUCAGCAUCCAUAAGGCUUUUUGUUUUAGCAUUUCUAAAACAAGCACUAUUUCCCUCAAAGCAUCACUGAAGAGUGAUGCUCCAGUAGCCCUGAGUGUUUCAACAAAGGGAUUUUUUAAUCCAGUGAUGCCCAGGGCAGAAGUUCCUCACUGGGUCAUGGACAGGACUCAGCCUGCAGCUCUGGAGAGCAAGGGCAGAGAAAGAGAGAGAGAGACAGGGAGAGAGAGAGAGAGAGAGAGAGAGAGAGAGAGAGAGAGAGAGAAAUAUGGCAAAAUCUUCACUCCACAAUGUGCUGGGCAGAUCAAUGGAGUAAAUGAGGCAAAAUGUAUGAAGCUGGAUCCUGCUCACAGAGACCUGCAGCUUUCAUGCAGCUAUUUUUUACCCAGAUACUUUCUGAACUCUUCAUUUCCUCCCAAUCCUUCUUUAAAUAUGAACAGCUCAAUACAUCCCUGCUUCAAACCUUUUGUCCUUAGCACAUUUAUAUUCCACAGUUGGCCCAGCCUGGCAGUAAACAAGGGUUUAGCUACUGUGGCAUAUUGACAGUGGUGAAUGGUUCAAUCCCAUCUGUGAAGGUACAAAAUACCCACAAGAAAAUAGGAAAGGGGUAAGGAGCCAUCCAGGUGAAAACCUGUCAUGUUAUCUGCUGCAGCUUACAGCACAAAUAUUGCAGCAAAGAAGGGAGAGAGGGGAAAUCCACCACCAGAAAAACCAACCAACCAACCAACCAACCAACCAACCAACCAACCAACCAACCAACCAACCAAC
This is a long non-coding RNA of Melospiza melodia melodia, 1943 nucleotides long. RefSeq lists it as uncharacterized. Lineage: Eukaryota; Metazoa; Chordata; Aves; Passeriformes; Passerellidae. The record is from RefSeq and is a predicted model, not a curated record. The transcript is spliced from 3 exons.